AACACCUGUAACCAUGCCGAACACAGUAGUUAAGCUUCUUCACGCCGAGAGUAGUUGGUGGGAGACUGCCUGCGAGGGUAGGACGUUGCCGUGC
Molecule: ribosomal RNA, 94 nt
Filed under: Lactobacillus sp. W8171
Lineage: Bacteria; Bacillati; Bacillota; Bacilli; Lactobacillales; Lactobacillaceae
Also listed under: 2 other names
Source: RNAcentral